AAAACUAAAGUAUCAUUAUCAUGCGUCUUCCUGUAUUCUCUCAAACAUAGAGAUGUUUACCACCAUGAUAAAGAGACAUAGUCUUGUGGUCCUGAACGCGAGGCAGAUAUUUCUUGUGGUAACUGUAUAUUACCACAGAAGUCGUUGAUGAUCAUCGUGUUCACCCACAAUUAUUAUUUUGUGGGUUUGGGAGGCCACGGAUACCAAACAAUCCGGGUGGU
This is a small nucleolar RNA of Anoplophora glabripennis (Asian longhorned beetle), 221 nucleotides long. RefSeq annotates it as small nucleolar RNA U3. NCBI's taxonomy places the organism in Eukaryota, Metazoa, Arthropoda, Insecta, Coleoptera, Cerambycidae. The record is from RefSeq and is a predicted model, not a curated record. The transcript has a single exon.